Molecule: ribosomal RNA, 440 nt
Filed under: uncultured bacterium
Lineage: Bacteria
Description: partial 16S ribosomal RNA
Rfam family: Bacterial small subunit ribosomal RNA
Source: RNAcentral
CCUACGGGAGGCUGCAGUGGGGAAUAUUGCACAAUGGGGGAAACCCUGAUGCAGCGACGCCGCGUGAGUGAAGAAGUACCUCGGUAUGUAAAGCUCUAUCAGCAGGGAAGAAAAUGACGGUACCUGACUAAGAAGCUCCGGCUAACUACGUGCCAGCAGCCGCGGUAAUACGUAGGGGGCAAGCGUUAUCCGGAUUUACUGGGUGUAAAGGGGGCGUAGGCGGCAGAGCAAGUCUGAAGUGAAAGCCCGCGGCCCAACUGCGGGACUGCUUUGGAAACUGCGCGGCUAGAGUGCUGGAGAGGUAGGCGGAAUUCCUGGUGUAGCGGUGAAAUGCGUAGAUAUCAGGAGGAACACCGGUGGCGAAGGCGGCUUACUGGACUGUAACUGACGUUGAGGCUCGAAAGCGUGGGGAGCAAACAGGAUUAGAUACCCGUGUAGUC